RNAcentral lists this ribosomal RNA (518 nucleotides) under uncultured eukaryote. RNAcentral describes it as "SSU rRNA". It matches the Rfam family "Eukaryotic small subunit ribosomal RNA", at positions 559 to 1065 of the family's 1831-position model. The record is from RNAcentral.
GUCUGGUGCCAGCAGCCGCGGUAAUUCCAGCUCCAGUAGCGUAUAUUAAAGUUGUUGCAGUUAAAAAGCUCGUAGUUGGAUUUCUGACGGACCGUUGCGGCCCGCUGUCUUUACGACAGUGCGUGCUGUGGCGAGUUUUGUCAUCCUUCCAGUAAGCUAUGCCUACCGUUCAUUCGGCCGGGUAUAUGCAAGCUGGAUCUAUUACUUUGAAAAAAUUAGAGUGUUUAAAGCAGGCUUAUGCUGUGAAUACAUUAGCAUGGAAUAAUAUUUUAGGACUUUGGAUCUAUUUUGUUGGUUUUUGGAGCUGAAGUAAUGAUUGACAGGGAUAGUUGGGGGUGCUAGUAUUCCAUGGCCAGAGGUGAAAUUCUUGGAUUCAUGGAAGACUAAUUCUGCGAAAAGCAAUUCACCAAGGAUGUCUUCUUUAAUCAAAGAACGAAAGUUGGGGGAUCGAAGACGAUCAGAUACCGUCGUAGUCUCAACCAUAAAACCUAUACCGUACUAAGGAUCAGUGAUCGUUG